GGUGCUAUCCUAUCUGAGCUUCCUUCCCACAGUCGUCACCUCCGCCGCCUCUCCUCCCUCGCCUCUACCUUCAGCUGUCUUCAUUCUCUUCUCCCGCGCUCUCCGUUUGCACUCGGAAGCGGCCGUCUUCUUGACCUUGUAAGACCUUUUCUUGGCCUUGUAAGACCCCGCUCCGUAAUUCUCGUCCUACAUCUUCUCUCUACCUCUCCUUUCGCCCGCCCUGCUCUGCACCGGAGUCCAGCCGCCGUGGCCCCGGCCUCCCCUCCCCCCCUUCUCAUCUCCUUCUUCUGUCUAUCCCUCCUGAGCUA
RNAcentral lists this small RNA (308 nucleotides) under Spirodela polyrhiza (greater duckweed). Its description in RNAcentral is "putative TAS3". The record is from RNAcentral. Lineage: Eukaryota; Viridiplantae; Streptophyta; Magnoliopsida; Alismatales; Araceae.